This 41-nucleotide ribosomal RNA is filed under the name Tricholoma caligatum. RNAcentral describes it as "partial 18S ribosomal RNA". The record is from RNAcentral. Lineage: Eukaryota; Fungi; Basidiomycota; Agaricomycetes; Agaricales; Tricholomataceae.
CGUACAAGGUUUCCGUAGGUGAACCUGCGGAAGGAUCAUUA